UAACGUGUGGGCAACCUGCCCUGUACUGGGGAAUAAUCAUUGGAAACGAAUGACUAAUACCGCAUGUGGUCCUCGGAAGGCAUCUUCUGAGGAAGAAAGGAUUUAUUCGGUACAGGAUGGGCCCGCAUCCGAUUAGCUAGUUGGUGAGAUAACAGCCCACCAAGGCGACGAUCAGUAGCCGACCUGAGAGGGUGAUCGGCCACAUUGGGACUGAGACACGGCCCAA
RNAcentral lists this ribosomal RNA (226 nucleotides) under uncultured bacterium. RNAcentral's name for it is "partial 16S ribosomal RNA". It matches the Rfam family "Bacterial small subunit ribosomal RNA", at positions 111 to 334 of the family's 1533-position model. The record is from RNAcentral.